GUGUCAGCCGCCGCGGUAAGACGGAGGGUGCUAGCGUUGUUCGGAAUUACUGGGCGUAAAGGGCGCGUAGGCGGCUACUUAAGUCGGGUGUGAAAGCCCGGGGCUCAACCCCGGAACUGCAUCCGAGACUGGGUGGCUGGAGAUCGGGAGAGGAGAGUGGAAUACCCAGUGUAGAGGUGAAAUUCGUAGAUAUUGGGUGGAACACCGGUGGCGAAAGCGGCUCUCUGGCCCGAUUCUGACGCUGAGGCGCGAAAGCGUGGGGAGCAAACAGGAUUAGAUACCCUGGUAGUCCACGCCCUAAACGAUGCGAGCUGGAUGUCGGAGGGCUUGCCCUUCGGUGUCGGAGCUAACGUGUUAAGCUCGCCGCCUGGGGAGUACGGCCGCAAGGUUAAA
RNAcentral lists this ribosomal RNA (393 nucleotides) under uncultured bacterium. Its description in RNAcentral is "bacterial SSU rRNA". It matches the Rfam family "Bacterial small subunit ribosomal RNA", at positions 505 to 898 of the family's 1533-position model. The record is from RNAcentral.